ACUCCUACGGGAGGCAGCAGUGGGAAUAUUGCACAAUGGGCGCAAGCCUGAUGCAGCAACGCCGCGUGAGGGACGACGGCCUUCGGGUUGUAAACCUCUUUUAGCAGGGAAGAAGCCUUCGGGUGACGGUACCUGCAGAAAAAGCGCCGGCUAAACUACGUGCCAGCAGCCGCGGUAAUACGUAGGGCGCAAGCGUUAUCCGGAAUUAUUGGGCGUAAAGAGCUCGU
This 227-nucleotide ribosomal RNA is filed under the name uncultured bacterium. RNAcentral's name for it is "partial 16S ribosomal RNA". It matches the Rfam family "Bacterial small subunit ribosomal RNA", at positions 335 to 572 of the family's 1533-position model. The record is from RNAcentral.